GAUGAACGCUGGCGGCGUGCCUAAUACAUGCAAGUCGAGCGAACGGACGAGAAGCUUGCUUCUCUGAUGUUAGCGGCGGACGGGUGAGUAACACGUGGAUAACCUACCUAUAAGACUGGGAUAACUUCGGGAAACCGGAGCUAAUACCGGAUAAUAUUUUGAACCGCAUGGUUCAAAAGUAAAAGACGGUCUUGCUGUCACUUAUAGAUGGAUCCGCGGUGCAUUAGCUAGUUGGUAAGGUAACGGCUUACCAAGGCAACGAUGCAUAGCCGACCUGAGAGUGUGAUCGGCCACACUGGAACUGAGACACGGUCCAGACUCCUACGGGAGGCAGCAGUAGGGAAUCUUCCGCAAUGGGCGAAAGCCUGACGGAGCAACGCCGCGUGAGUGAUGAAGGUCUUCGGAUCGUAAAACUCUGUUAUUAGGGAAGAACAUAUGUGUAAGUAACUGUGCACAUCUUGACGGUACCUAAUCAGAAAGCCACGGCUAACUACGUG
This 497-nucleotide ribosomal RNA is filed under the name uncultured bacterium. Its description in RNAcentral is "partial 16S ribosomal RNA". It matches the Rfam family "Bacterial small subunit ribosomal RNA", at positions 28 to 507 of the family's 1533-position model. The record is from RNAcentral.